This is a long non-coding RNA of Myotis lucifugus (little brown bat), 342 nucleotides long. RefSeq lists it as uncharacterized. The transcript has 3 exons. Lineage: Eukaryota; Metazoa; Chordata; Mammalia; Chiroptera; Vespertilionidae. The record is from RefSeq and is a predicted model, not a curated record.
CCAGAGAGGACUUCCUGAGGAGGGGGCCCCUCUCAGCUCUGAGGCAGGAAGGAAGGGGGCUCCCUGACCUGGGGGUUUAUUCUCAGGCUCCUGGGAACAGCAGCCAGAGGUGCUGCGGAAACUGGAAGGGGAGGAAGUCUCUUCACCCAUCCCAGGCUUGGCCAGGAGCCUGGAGACCCGAGAUUCGUCAUCAGGGAUGACCCCGGACAGGGGUACUUCACCGUCACCAUGACUGCGCUGGCAGAGAAGGACUCGGGCUUGUAUUGGUGUGGACUCUAUGAAUAUCCCCAGAUUGACAUUCUCAGAGCCAUCCGUCUGCCGGUCUCUCCGGCACAAGUCCCA